UGGGGAAUAUUGCACAAUGGGGAAGCCCUGAUGCAGCGACGCCGCGUGAAGGAUGAAGUAUUUCGGUAUGUAAACUUCUAUCAGCAGGGAAGAAAAUGACGGUACCUGACUAAGAAGCCCCGGCUAACUACGUGCCAGCAGCCGCGGUAAUACGUAGGGGGCAAGCGUUAUCCGGAUUUACUGGGUGUAAAGGGAGCGUAGACGGAAAGGCAAGUCAGAAGUGAAAGCCCAAGGCUCAACCAUGGGACUGCUUUUGAAACUGUCAAACUAGAGUACGGGAGAGGUAAGAGGAAUUCCUAGUGUAGCGGUGAAAUGCGUAGAUAUUAGGAGGAACACCAGUGGCGAAGGCGUCUUACUGGACCGAAACUGACGUUGAGGCUCGAAAGCGUGGGGAGCAAACAGGAUUAGAUACCC
Molecule: ribosomal RNA, 414 nt
Filed under: uncultured bacterium
Lineage: Bacteria
Description: bacterial SSU rRNA
Rfam family: Bacterial small subunit ribosomal RNA
Source: RNAcentral